GCCCCCGGCGCCGCGGCCGCGGGGGGCGGGCGUCAAGCGGGUGCCCGGGGCCGCGGGGGUGGAGAGGAGCACGCGAGGCGCGGGGGCGUCCGGAGAGCGGGCGGGGGCAGGUCCCAGCGUCUCGGGGGGCCCGGGACUGGGCUCUGGGGGCCCAAGCUUUCCUGGACGCCCCAGGCCAUCAGCGGCGGGGGCGUGGCGGGGGACAGGCAGGAAGCCGGGCCUGGAGGCUGGCUUCUUUGCCGCGUGACCUUGGGGAGAGGCGCCUCCGGCCGCAGCUCCGCGGGUGUGUUUUUAUAACGUUUCCCAGCGUCGGCUCAGCUCCCUGCGAGCCGCGCCACGCCCCGUCCAGCCGGAGCCGAAGGAAUGACUGCCCCCGGGUCAGACACCGGGGCCCGCAAGGAGGAAGAGGCGGUUGGUUUCAAUACCGCGCAGCCGGCCCAGCCCAUGAGGCCUCGAGCAGCCUCAGUUUCCCUGUCCGUGGUGCUGAGGACGCCGGGGCCUGGAUGCGCGGGGCGGGCGGGGCGGCAUCCCGGUCGCUGCCCGGGACACUGGCCAAAGCUGCCAUAUAUUGCAGGGGCCAGAAGCCUGAGAACUACAUUUCCCAGAGUCCCCUGCGGCAGGGUUCCAGGUUAGAGUCUCUCAAUCACAGCUCUUUCAGGGGUUCUAGAAGCGCCUAAAAGCCCGGAUUCAAU
This 692-nucleotide long non-coding RNA is filed under the name Equus asinus (donkey). Its description in RNAcentral is "lncRNA (ENSEASG00005031936.1)". Lineage: Eukaryota; Metazoa; Chordata; Mammalia; Perissodactyla; Equidae. The record is from RNAcentral.